RNAcentral lists this ribosomal RNA (118 nucleotides) under Pteropus alecto (black flying fox). Lineage: Eukaryota; Metazoa; Chordata; Mammalia; Chiroptera; Pteropodidae. The record is from RNAcentral.
GUCUACGGCCACGACACCCUGAACAAGCCCGAUCCCGUCUGAUCUCGGAAGUAAGCAGGGUCAGGCCUGGUUAGUACUUGGAUGGGAGACCACCUAGGAAUGCCAGGUGCUGUAGGCA